CGUGCCUAAUACAUGCAAGUCGAGCGGGAUGAAGAAGAAGCUUGCUUCUUCUGAUUUUAGCGGCGGACGGGUGAGUAACACGUGGGCAACCUACCUUGUAGAUUGGGAUAACUCCGGGAAAACCGGGGCUAAUACCGAAUAAUCCAUUUUGCUUCAUGGCGAGAUGUUAAAAGGCGGCUUCGGCUGUCACUACGAGAUGGGCCCGCGGCGCAUUAGCUAGUUGGUAGGGUAAUGGCCUACCAAGGCGACGAUGCGUAGCCGACCUGAGAGGGUGAUCGGCCACACUGGGACUGAGACACGGCCCAGACUCCUACGGGAGGCAGCAGUAGGGAAUCUUCCACAAUGGACGAAAGUCUGAUGGAGCAACGCCGCGUGAGUGAAGAAGGUUUUCGGAUCGUAAAACUCUGUUGUAAGGGAAGAACACGUACGAGAGUAACUGCUCGUACCUUGACGGUACCUUAUUAGAAAGCCACGGCUAACUACGUG
RNAcentral lists this ribosomal RNA (486 nucleotides) under uncultured bacterium. RNAcentral's name for it is "bacterial SSU rRNA". It matches the Rfam family "Bacterial small subunit ribosomal RNA", at positions 43 to 507 of the family's 1533-position model. The record is from RNAcentral.